Molecule: transfer RNA, 62 nt
Filed under: Hemiarthrum setulosum
Lineage: Eukaryota; Metazoa; Mollusca; Polyplacophora; Chitonida; Hemiarthridae
Description: tRNA-Leu
Source: RNAcentral
AUUAGGUUAGCAAAAAGUGCAAAUAAUUUAGAAUUAUUAAAUAAGAGUCCAUCUUACCUAAU